This 393-nucleotide ribosomal RNA is filed under the name Temora sp. RNAcentral describes it as "partial small subunit ribosomal RNA". It matches the Rfam family "Eukaryotic small subunit ribosomal RNA", at positions 582 to 975 of the family's 1831-position model. The record is from RNAcentral. Lineage: Eukaryota; Metazoa; Arthropoda; Copepoda; Calanoida; Temoridae.
AUUCCAGCUCCAAUAGCGUAUAUUAAUGUUGUUGCAGUUAAAAAGCUCGUAGUUGGAUUUCUGCGGGUAUAGGUUGGUUUGAAUUGCUUCAAUACUGACUUUUUUACCCGUGUGUUUUGCCAGAAUUUAACGGGUGAUCUUCGCCGAUUGUCUGUUAGAACUGACAGGUUUACUUUGAAAAAAUUAGAGUGCUCAAAGCAAGCUUGAUUGCUUGAAUAUUCGUGCAUGGAAUAAUAGAAUAGGAAGUCGUUUCUAUUUUGUUGGUUUUCGGAAAUCGACUUAAUGAUUAAUAGGGACAGUCGGGGGCAUUUGUAUUCAAACGACAGAGGUGAAAUUCUUGGACCGUUUGAAGACAAACUACUGCGAAAGCAUUUGCCAAGAAUGUUUUCAUUA